GCAAAGGCAGGGCCCAUGGGCCAUUAGGACACAUAGUUCUCAGGUGUUUUCAUUUCAUGGCCUGACUUCUUUGAAUUCAGAUUAAAUCCCACUUGACAUGACCCUCUGGGACUCCUCGUGGAAAGUGGAGUCAUGUGAUAUCAGGGAGGCUGCUAAAGCAGUGCCGAGCUUGGGAAUCCCAAGCCAGGAUUUAGAACUUUAAGGGAAGUCACUCAAGGGGGCAUCACAAUGCUGAACUGGGAACCUUUCAACAAUGCUUAAGGGAUAAGUGAUAAGACAGGGGCCUCCAGAAUGAGUGACUAGCCUCCCUUUACAGUCUCACCUGCUCAGCUCUGUGACUCCAAACUGCAGUGUUUUCUCUCUUCAGUGGUAAACAUAUUUGCCUCCCACCUCUCUAGCCCUGGCAAGGUCAUAUGUGUGCUGAUUGACAUCAGUGUUGGGUGUGGGCCCUUUCUAACCCCUGGCCGCAGUCAUUUGUACUGGCCUCUCCCUAUUCUCCUUGUCCACAUGGUGUCCCCACUCAUGGCUGAUACUUUCCCCUUGAAAAAGCCACGUUUUAGAGGCGGGCUUAUUAAAUGCACAGAUGUAUAAUUUCCCUGUAUGAACCACAGCUACUUUUGCCUCCAAGCUAGAUGAGUUAAGUUUCGGCUGUUACAUUUCACUAGGUUUUGCUCAUAGGUUCAAAAAAGCAAUCAGGAGGCAGAGCUAUUUUUUAACUAUCAUAAAAUCUUAGUUCUGGAAGGAGUCUUGAAGAUCAAUGCAGGUCAACCCUGAUAUCUCCCACAGGAGGAACGUGAGGCCCAGAGAUCCUUCUUGAGUUACCCAACGUCCUGCAGCCCGCAAUAGAGAAGCAGACUAGAGGCAACAUUACCGGAAUCUCUCUCUCCCAUCCCCCAUCCCAGACCCAGAUCCUUCUACUGCAGACACCUGCUGUUCUUUUAUUGAUGGCAUGGCUAGUGCUCAGUCAUCUGGUCACCACAACUCUACUGAGCCCCUCCCCUGGGUGCUGGACUGGCUCUAACACUGUGCGAACAGACAGAGGAAGGCUCAUGCUUGUGGAGCCAACGUUCUAAGUUGGGGAAGAGUCAAUGUAUGAAUUUUAAAAACAGUAAAACAAGAUCAUUUCAGAGAACGGAAGACAACAGCAAGCACGGGCCACCUGUGACCACGUGGACCCUAGGACCCAAGAGCAUGGCCCUGGAGCUGCCUGGCCCUACUGGCCUAGACUGGGCCUCGGCCACGCGCUCCUCACCUUCACAGUGGCAUUGCAGUACCGGGCACAGCCGCUCUUCAGGCUCCCAAACCUGCCACUGUAGACACAUCUGUGUGUGAAGAGUGCCUGGAGAAAGCCAAGGAGGGAAAGCAUGGCAGUCAGCAUGUUUAGGUCCUCCAGGCACUGCACACCCUCUGCAGACACUUGCCAUUGUACUUCCAUUUCACCACUGACGUCAGGAGAGAGUGCUGGACCACACUAGCAGACCUGGGUCUACAUCAGAGCUUGGACACCCUUUUUUAGGCCUGUUCCCUUGUUGGUGGAAUACAGGCCAGAGUUUGCAUCAUCCAUGGCCCACAGAUCUUUAUUCCCUCUUCCAUGCCACAGCAGAUGUCUCUAAGCAGAAAAUAUUUUCUGUUCAUUCUGGAUACGGUCUAGUCUCCCCUUCCGAUCUAUAGCCAUCCCUAAGAUCUCCUACAGAGACAUUUUGGAGCCCCCAAAGGGUCUAUCUACACUUCAUUGAAAGGUUUGCCAAACAAAAUUGUGAUAGUCUGAGUUUUUCUCUUAGGAGUGGGGCAGAUUUAUAUGCAUCCUUCCAUUCUAACCAACAAUGCCCACUCAUAAUUAUCUAGAACUCAUGUUUACUGAGAACAUUUUAUGGGCCAGACACAUUGCACAGAUGAGUUCAUCAAUCUUCAAUUCUAUGUGGAUGUUUCUCAUGCCAUUUUUUAUAGAUAAGGAAACAGGCCCAGACAGGUUAAAUCAUUUUUUCCAAGAAACACUGAUAGUAAGUAUAAGGUCUAGAGAAUGGGUCUUAUCACGUACAGACUUUAGGAUCACAGUCAUGUAGCCUCUGUGGGCCUCAGCUGCCUAAUUUAUAAAAUAUCAAGAAAAUAUUGAUGAGACAAUAAUGCUGAUUUCAAGUUUUGUCACGAGAAUUUAGUCUCUGGUUCAAAUUUUGUUUUAGAUAAUUGUUGAUGUCAAGCUUAUCCCUUCAUCUUAGGCUGUUGCUCAAGAAGAGGGCAAUGAGACUUUCCUAGGCUAUAAAAUCCUAAAAUAUUAGCUAUAUGAAGGAAUUCUGAGGUCACUGAGGAAGGAGCACUACAGUCCUUUUGGGAAUCUCAGGAUAAUUAACCAGGUGUGGGUCACAGGAUUCCCGGGAUGGGUGAUUUGAGGGCUUCUUUUGGCUCCUACCCAUGUGUCUAAUUUCCCUUUCUUUUCCCUCUUCCUUCUCUUUCCCUGGGCUGAGACAAUCAUAGAAUGGUGAUUAAACAUGUAGAACAAAUCAUGGUUCUGCCACAUCAGCUGUGUGACCUUGUACAAGGUGGUUUACGUUUCCUUGCCUUAGUGCCCUAAUCAUACAUUGGUUAUGGUGAUAAUAUACCCACCUCGUGGGGCUGCUGCAUAAAGCAUUUAGAACAAUGUCUGGCACACAGCAAUCACUGUGACACCAGCCAACACAAUUUCCUCUUCUCCUCCCUCUCACAUUCCCUGCUUGACAGCAUCCUGAAGGACUCAGGGGUAAUGCCUUUGUUAAGCAAAAUAAAUAUCUGAACACCUGCA
Molecule: long non-coding RNA, 2776 nt
Filed under: Homo sapiens (human)
Lineage: Eukaryota; Metazoa; Chordata; Mammalia; Primates; Hominidae
Description: HSALNT0370199
Source: RNAcentral